AUUGAACGCUGGCGGCAGGCCUAACACAUGCCAGUCGAACGGUAACAGGAAACAGCUUGCUGUUUCGCUGACGAGUGGCGGACGGGUGAGUAAUGUCUGGGAAACUGCCUGAUGGAGGGGGAUAACUACUGGAAACGGUAGCUAAUACCGCAUAACGUCGCAAGACCAAAGAGGGGGACCUUCGGGCCUCUUGCCAUCGGAUGUGCCCAGAUGGGAUUAGCUAGUAGGUGGGGUAACGGCUCACCUAGGCGACGAUCCCUAGCUGGUCUGAGAGGAUGACCAGCCACACUGGAACUGAGACACGGUCCAGACUCCUACGGGAGGCAGCAGUGGGGAAUAUUGCACAAUGGGCGCAAGCCUGAUGCAGCCAUGCCGCGUGUAUGAAGAAGGCCUUCGGGUUGUAAAGUACUUUCAGCGGGGAGGAAGGGAGUAAAGUUAAUACCUUUACCCAUUGACGUUACCCGCAGAAGAAGCACCGGCUAACUCCGUG
Molecule: ribosomal RNA, 490 nt
Filed under: uncultured bacterium
Lineage: Bacteria
Description: partial 16S ribosomal RNA
Rfam family: Bacterial small subunit ribosomal RNA
Source: RNAcentral